RNAcentral lists this non-coding RNA (179 nucleotides) under Deltaproteobacteria bacterium. RNAcentral's name for it is "6S RNA". It matches the Rfam family "6S / SsrS RNA". Rfam says of the family: E. coli 6S RNA was the first non coding RNA to be sequenced, but its function was unknown until recently. The record is from RNAcentral. Lineage: Bacteria; Pseudomonadati; Myxococcota; Myxococcia.
GGUCCCCUGCCUUGCAGGUGAUGAUCGAUGUGUUUUGAGCCAACACAUAUUUGAAUGGGAUCUAUGUUCGAAAGAUGGUGUGCACGCCCUGGCGACAGGGAAGCCUGAAAUCUUUGACGGGAUACCCACCUGAUUUUCAGGUUCAAAUAAUUUCGGUCACACGGCAAGGCGGGGUCCUC